AUUCGAUUAUGGCUCAGAUUGAACGCUGGCGGGAUGCUUUACACAUGCAAGUCGAACGGCAGCACGGACUUCGGUCUGGUGGCGAGUGGCGAACGGGUGAGUAAUGUAUCGGAACGUGCCUAGUAGCGGGGGAUAACUACGCGAAAGCGUAGCUAAUACCGCAUACGCCCUUCGGGGGAAAGCGGGGGACCUUCGGGCCUCGCACUAUUAGAGCGGCCGAUAUCAGGAUUAGCUAGUUGGUGGGGUAACGGCUCACCAAGGCGACGAUCGUAGCUGGUUUGAAGGACGACCAGCCACACUGGGACUACAGAGACACGGCCCAGACUCCUGCAGGAGGCAGCAGUGGGGAAUUUUGGACAAUGGAAACCUGAUCAGCCAUCCCGCGUGUGCGAUGAAGGCCUUCGGGUUGUAAAGCACUUUUGGCAGGAAAGAAACGGCGGGAUAAUACCCCGUGCAACUGACGUACCUGCAGAAUAAGCACCGGCUAACUACGUGCCAGCAGCCGCGGUAAUACGUAGGGUGCAAGCGUUAAUCGGAAUUACUGGGCGUAAAGCGUGCGCAGGCGGUUCGGAAAGAAGAUGCUUGAAAUCCCAGAGCUUAACUUUGGAACUGCAUUUUUAACUACCGAGCUAGAGUGUGUCAGAGAGUGGAAUUCGCGUGCGCCAUUGAAAUGCGUAUAUGCGGAGGAACACCAGUGGCGAAGGCAGCCUCCUGGGAUAACUGACGCUCAUGCACAGCGUGGGAGCAAACAGGAUUAGAUACCCUGGUAGUCCACGCCCUAAACGAUGUCAACUAGCUGUUGGGGCCUUCGGGUACCAGCGCCAGCUGCGUGAAGUUGAUACACGCCUAGGAGCUGAUAUGGAUACCAGCUCAAGGAAUUGGUGAGACCACGCACAAGCGGUAGUGAUGGAUAGUGAUGCCUUGCCGAAAACCACCACCUACCACCAGGCAUCCGGAAUCCCGAGAGAGAGCGAGUUUGGGUGCACCGGGAACCCAGACUCCUCCAGAUGCUUGCAUGGCUUGUCGUCCAGCCGUGUCGUGGACGUUGGGUUCGUCCUGCGGCGAAAUCCGCCAACUCUGUCAUUAGUUGCUACGAAGGGCACUCUAAUGAGACUGCCGGUGACAAACCGGAGGAAGGUGGGGAUGACGUCAAGUCCUCAUGGCCCUUAUGGGUAGGGCUUCACACGUCAUACAAUGGUCGGGACAGAGGGUCGCCAACCCGCGAGGGAGCCAAUCCCAGAAACCCGAUCGUAGUCCGGAUCGCAGUCUGCAACUCGACUGCGUGAAGUCGGAAUCGCUAGUAAUCGCGGAUCGGCAUGUCGCGAGUGGGAAUACGCUCCCGGGGUCUUGUACACACCGCCCGUCACACCAUGGGAGUGGGUUUUACCAGAAGUAGUUAGCCUAACCGUAAGGAGGGCGAUUACCACGGUAGGAUUCAUGACUGGGGUGAAGUCGUAACAAGGUAG
RNAcentral lists this ribosomal RNA (1466 nucleotides) under uncultured Bordetella sp. Its description in RNAcentral is "partial 16S-23S ribosomal RNA intergenic spacer". It matches the Rfam family "Bacterial small subunit ribosomal RNA". Lineage: Bacteria; Pseudomonadati; Pseudomonadota; Betaproteobacteria; Burkholderiales; Alcaligenaceae. The record is from RNAcentral.